Molecule: long non-coding RNA, 3073 nt
Organism: Trachemys scripta elegans
Lineage: Eukaryota; Metazoa; Chordata; Testudines; Emydidae
Exons: 4
Source: RefSeq, a predicted model, not a curated record
GAUAGUUUUCCCCAGUCAUGAGAGGCAAAAUGGAGUUUCAUCAAUGACUAACGUCUGUGCCAAAACAAGAUGGUUAUUUGGAGCGCAUUGGUUCUGUUCAGAAAGCAGAUGGGCUACCAGCAACAGGAGGCAGUAGGCUUUUCCACCAGAAAAAGGGCAUUUCAGGGAAUUGCUCUGGCUCCCAAACUGUAGGAAUUGUUGACCUACUGACUCAGUUAUGAAGAAUUGGGAAAACAGCCUUAUUGUGGUUUCCUUUGUUGAUGGCAGAUUCAGAAGACAUAUUUGAUCAUGUGCAUGUGGCUAGCAGAAGAGAGGUGGCUUUAGUUCAUGUUGCAUUCUGGAUUUGUUUUGUGCCUGCAAGGAGCUGAAUUCCUGAUCGCUGGAGAAGAUCUAACCAUAUUUGCACUGGUUCUGCUCAUGACAGUACAGUGGGGCAGGUAACUGCCAAGAAGGAACUGGGAGGCUCUGACUUUUCCAAGGCUCAGGAUUAUGCAAUGAAGAAAAAUAUUUUAGAAGCUAUAGAGAGAGGUCACAACACCCUGGUCAGAAGGAUUACAGAUUUGAUGGACCGUUGAUGUGAGAAGAAUUUAAGAAUUGCCAUAGUGGGUCAGACCAAAGGUCCAUCUAGCCCAGUAUCCUGUCUUCCAACAGUGGUCAAUGCCAGGUGCUUCAGAGGGAAUGAGCAGAACAGGUCCAACCUUGUGAGAAUAUCCUGAGUGUGCCAAAAGGAGAGCAUAUGGCACGGGGGGAAAACCUGUCUACAAAUUGCUAUGAACUGAAAGGUAAAUAGUUUGUUAUUCUUAAGAAUCAGAAGAGCAUAGCCUCUGUAUGGAUUUUGUUUCCAAAUAGAAAGUCUGAAUAUGUCUGGUGUACCUUGUGUUUGACACUGUGCUGCAUAGUGAGAGGGGAAGCAUAUGACUUUUAAAAAUUGGGCUUGUGCCCUUUCUUUGCAAUUGAAAGGGUUUGGGGUUUUUUUUUUUAAAGGCAUUUUUCUGAUUUUUUUUCUUUGCCUACCUUUUGAGUUAUCACACCUCAUAGAAGGGACGGGAGUGUUGGAAUCUUUUAAUGAAGAGAUCCUUUCUCCAAAGUGUUUGACAGCCAUUGGACUUAAAUAGAUGUUAAUAAAAACAAAUAUAUUGAAACAUCUCAAUAAAAUCUCUCCUGCUCUCUUGUUUAACAUCACAACAGACUGAAAGGUAUCAUUUUACUAGCUCUACAAUCAUAGAGUCUGCCGAAGUAGUCAUGUCCUGAAUUUCUAAUAAUAAAAAAUUAAGAAAAAAUAUGAACUUUUUUUCUUAGGGGAAAAAAAACCUUGCAGGCCUUCCUUAUCCACCAUAAAAGCCUCACAAAAACAGUGCACAAGGGCAUUUUUUCCUUUGCGGGUCUACUUUAACUAUCUCUGGCAGAAAAAUUAGGAUGGCUAUUUAUUUAGCAGUGUUAGUGAACCUAGCCCGAUAGGUAAUGGAGAGGUGCCAGACAAUCAAGAGUCCCUGCUUUGAGUUUACAGAGUAAAGGAGGCACUAGUGGAUGCAAAACAGUCCACUGCCCAGUGAGUGCGGUUCUUGAGUGUUUCAUGACAUGGCUAUCUGGUUUAGCACUGGAGACCCACCAAACUUUACAUAUCAAUAGCAUUUUGUUUAAGGAAGUUUUUUAAAAUAAAGAGGAAUCAAAUUUUGAAAUGGCCAUUGGUUUGUGCCCAGUCCCAAACAGGAGACCGCAGAAUAUUUAUGGGAGGUGUCAGUGAGAAUUUUAUUGGUGCAGUAAUUAAGAGAUGUGUAAGGUACAAAUGAAGUAACAAAUUAGCUUUUUAUCUCUGUAUUGAGCACUGUUGUGAAGAAUUGUUUUACUCUUGAGCCUUAAGAAGCAUUAGAAAGGAACUGCCACUGUUUUUUCAGGGAAUCUUACAGAAUCUCCAGUACCCCGCAUUUGCCACUCCCACUCUAACAACACUUGUCUUAGUGACCCUCUGUCCAGCCAAGCAGUGCUAAUUACAGGGCCGUCCAGAAACCAUCAGCACGGCUCCUUCAGCUUACCAGAGAGUGCAUUUGAGAGCAAAGUGGUCUGAUACUGUGACAAUAUGUGUGGUAUGAGAACCUAGACAGAUAGUGAUACAAGGUAAGGGGACCAGGAAGCCCAUGGCACCUUUACUGCUCCAGUACCCCUUCCUGGUUCUUGCAGUGACUUGUUGUAUGGCCUUGUUAUACUACUUCACCAUUCUCUGUCUCAUUUUUCCCCAAUUAUAAAACAAAAAGAAUAAUACUUAGUUCACAAGAGUGUUGCAGAGCUUAAUGCUUCUACGGAGUUAUGGAAGUAGGAAAUGUUAUUUCUUGCAAUAAUACUUGUGGUUGUAAUGUUUGAAUUUGGAUCUCAGUGCAAACCAUCUUUUUUUCCCCUUCAGAAUGUAUAUGGGUUUUCAGUAACACAUAAUCCAUUUGUUAAGGACUCUGUUUUGAAGACAGCUAAAUCAAUGUUUUACUACCUAGAACCUGCUGUAAUAAAUAUGCCUCUUUUUUUUUUUUUUAGGGUCUCUACUUUCCUCAUUAGGCUUCAGAAAACAUGACCCAGAGUAAAUCCAAGUCAGCUUGUCUCUCAAGAGGACUCUUGUUAGUGCCCAGUGAUACCCUCUGCUUACACAGAGAUACUUCUACCAGGUUAUAUGGGGAUGGGAGCCAAUGUACAGGCAAGGGUCAGCUGCACCAGUGACCCAUGCCUCAGAUAAGUCCUCUGAGAUCCGUGGGUUGUGUGCCAAACCAGCUACUUCGUUCACAAUUGGAUGUGCAGACUCCACAUAUCCCCAGUUGAAAGAGCAAUGGCAAACUCUCCGACUUUCCAGUCACCAGUGUGAAUUAUUCAUGGGUUGGGGACCAGGGGGUCCAAAGAGGAGCAGUAAACAUGGUCUAAAAUCCUGUAUCUCCACUUCACACCCAAAUAAACGCUCCCCGGUUUAUAUUCAAAACACAGAGGUAACAGCUAAAAUCGUUACAUUCUGUAUCUGACCACUGGGGGAAAAGAGGAUUAUGAAGCUGCAUUUCAGCUCACACCACAAAUGACAAUAAAAGUUCAAUCAGCUUUA